GACCCCGCACAAGCGGCGGAGCAUGCGGCUUAAUUCGAUGAUACCCGUAGAACCUUACCUGGACUUGACAUAUAGGGAAAAACUAAAGAAAUUUAGUGUGGCGUAAGCGCCCUAUACAGGUGGUGCAUGGCUGUCGUCAGCUCGUGUCGUGAGAUGUUGGUUAAGUCCCGCAACGAGCGCAACCCCUGUCCUAUGUUGCCAGCAAGUAAUGUUGGGGACUCAUAGGAGACUGCCGGUGAUAAACCGAGGAAGUGGGACGACGUCAAGUCAUCAUGCCCUUAUGUCCAGGGCUGCACGCAUGCUACAAUGGCGCAUACAGAGGGCAGCAAAGCUAGCGAUAGUGAG
This 345-nucleotide ribosomal RNA is filed under the name uncultured bacterium. Its description in RNAcentral is "bacterial SSU rRNA". It matches the Rfam family "Bacterial small subunit ribosomal RNA", at positions 920 to 1267 of the family's 1533-position model. The record is from RNAcentral.